UGGGCAGGCUGGGCGACUACCCCGAGAAUCAUCGAGGGGAGGAAAGUCCGGACUCCAUAGAGCGGUGUGCCUCGUAACGCGAGGUCGGGUUUAAACCCGAAGGAAAGUGCAACAGAGAAGACACGGCCGAACUCAAGCCUAAAGCUUGGGUGGCAAAGGUGAAAACGGGAGGUAAGAGCUCCCGACGGAGAUAAGGCUGGAGACAGCCACGUUGUAAACCCCACACGGAGCAAGAUCAAAAAGGGAGAGAGCUGGCUCGGCUCGUUAUGAUCCCGAGUAGAUCGCAAAGAGGUAGUUAGCGAUAACUAUCCCAGAUAGAUGGUCGCACUCGACAGAAUCCGGCUUAUAAGUCUGCCCAUUUU
This 362-nucleotide RNase P RNA is filed under the name candidate division WOR-1 bacterium RIFOXYB2_FULL_48_7. RNAcentral's name for it is "RNase P RNA component class A". It matches the Rfam family "Bacterial RNase P class A". From Rfam's summary of the family: Ribonuclease P (RNase P) is a ubiquitous endoribonuclease, found in archaea, bacteria and eukarya as well as chloroplasts and mitochondria. Its best characterised activity is the generation of mature 5'-ends of tRNAs by cleaving the 5'-leader elements of precursor-tRNAs. Lineage: Bacteria; Bacillati. The record is from RNAcentral.